AUCUCUAGAAUGACUAAAGCCUGUGGAUUCUGGUGAGGACUAAUGCUGUGCGUCCUGAGCUGGAACAUGAGGUCCAGUGAAACACAAGCUACACAGUGUCCUCUGGGCAGUACACACACACUGAAGACACCAAGGCGAGACUGAGGGGGAGGCUGGACCCGAUGGCAUCUUGGAGCUCCUGAGCCACUGUGUUAGCCACUACCCAAUAUUUCACAGAUUUGCCGAGGGCCACACUCACAGAAGAUUAAGAGUUGGAAAGUCCUAAGCAAAGCUGGAUAUUAAAAUGUUAAUGUUGCUGGAGAAUACCAGAGCAAAGCUGAAGGCAAUCAUCAGAAUGACAAGGGUGCCACAGGCUGGGUAACUUAUAAAUGAUACAAGUCCAAGGUCCAGGAGCUGCCUCUGGGGAGACCUCGUUGCUGUGUCAGAACAUGGCAGAGUAACUCACAGAGAGAGGACAGGAGCCCACACUUGCAUCCUCGCGCCCUUUUAUAAUCGGCACUAAUCCACCACCACGAAGGUGGCAACCUCCUGACCGGAGCACCUGCCACUGACCCCCACCUCCCACCACUGCUGUUUUGAGGAUUUUAUUUCCCACACGUGAUCUUUGGGGGGACACAGUCACGCUAUAGCAUUCAGCUGAUCAGUGACUGUUCCUGGCCCCUUCAUGUUCCCCACUCUGCCACUCUAUCCCCAAGCACUGAAGUGUCUCCGCAUGCCCUGCACUACCUGGCAUUUGUUGGUGCAUUGUCUGUCUCCCCAACCAGAAUGCAGCUCCUGGAGGGUGGAGACUUGGUUUUGUUCACAGCUGCCUCCCCGGGGCAUAGAAGGGAUCCCAGCAUGUAGCAGGCACUCAAUAAACUGCUGUGUGAGUGAUUGGCAGGGAGACAAGUCUGUUUCCUACCUGUAAAAUGGA
This is a non-coding RNA of Heterocephalus glaber (naked mole-rat), 913 nucleotides long. The record is from RefSeq and is a predicted model, not a curated record. Lineage: Eukaryota; Metazoa; Chordata; Mammalia; Rodentia; Bathyergidae.